RNAcentral lists this ribosomal RNA (403 nucleotides) under uncultured bacterium. RNAcentral's name for it is "partial 16S ribosomal RNA". It matches the Rfam family "Bacterial small subunit ribosomal RNA", at positions 30 to 526 of the family's 1533-position model. The record is from RNAcentral.
AUUGAACGCUGGCGGCAGGCCUAACACAUGCAAGUCGAGCGAGCGGCGGACGGGUGAGUAAUGUAUGGGGACUGCCCGAUAGAGGGGGAUAACUACUGGAAACGGUAGCUAAUACCGCAUACUAUCGGAUAACCCAUAUGGGAUUAGCUAGUAGGUGAGGUAAUGGCUCACCUAGGCGACGAUCCCUAGCUGGUCUGAGAGGAUGAUCAGCCUCCCUGGUACUGAGACACGGCCCAGAUACAUCCAUAAUCACCAUUAUAAAAUAUUACACAAUGUUCGCAAGCCUGAUUCAGCCAUGCCGCGUGUAUGAAGAACUCCCUAGGGUUUUAACGUACUUUCAGUCGGGAGGCGUUACCGACAGAAGAAGCACCGGCUAACUCCGUGCCAGCAGCCGCGGUAAUAC